This 5484-nucleotide long non-coding RNA is filed under the name Solanum tuberosum (potato). Its description in RNAcentral is "long non-coding RNA (STUB_LNC003071)". Lineage: Eukaryota; Viridiplantae; Streptophyta; Magnoliopsida; Solanales; Solanaceae. The record is from RNAcentral.
GCAGGUGGCGGAGCUUGAAAUGGAACGUCAGUGAAGAAACGAUAAGUUUCAUAACGGAAAUAGCAGCUAAGUCCUAUUAUUCUGCCACUAGUCUUUCCCUUGCAGGGACAGCUAGGCAUAUUCCCAUAAGCGCCAGUCAAGCAAUCGAAGCAAUUCUGAGGAGAUAGAUUAGGAGUGCACUGCACAAGUGCAUAUAUAGUCUGGAAAUCUGGACCUGUCGCAUUACCACUAGCAUAUUUUCGACGGGGAUCACCACCAUUUGCAGCUUGGCCUCGCAAAUCGACCAAUAAUUUUUCAAGAUCCUGGUUAAAUUCCUCCGGUUGUGAGGCAUUCUCAUGAUUCCAGAAAUAAUAUAGAGUAGGAAAUGAUGUAGUAUCGUUUAUGAUGGAUCGAUUGGAGUACUGCAACAAACAUUCAUCAUAGCCAGCAUUAGCUUCUUUUUGGUUAGGACAUAUCUCUACAAGCCUUUGACCAAUGUUAUCGACACAAUAGCGACAUCGAUCAAGCCCUAUAUCUCCUCUACACAGCACAAUAGCACUGACCUUGUUGCUGUUUUGGCCAAUGGAAGCAUUGUAGAAACCAUAUUCAUCGAUAUUUAAGGAAAGGGAAUAGAGGAGGGUGUUUAGAUUGUUCUUGUAUGCACUAUCUUCAGUAUAGUUACCAUUGCCACCACAUUGAACGUAUUUUAAAUCGGACAGCUGCGCUAGGAUGGGAGUAUGAUAAAGAUGGAUAUGCAAAAAAAGAAAGAGUAGCCACUUCUGAAUAACCAUGGUCUUCGUCGUUAUGGCUGUUUUAAGUAGCUCGAUAUAUACAAGCUUAAUUAGUUAUUUUUGAAGAAAAUGUAAUACAUACUAUAAUUGAUUGGUUACAAUUGGUAGGGAGAUUGAUAGUAAUUCAGUGGCCAUUGCUAAAUGUGUAAUAGUUGACAAAUUAACACGCUGUUGGUCUAUUUUUUAGUCUUGACAAAUUGACUCUUAGAGUUUAUGGAUUUCAACUCUAAUUUAUGGAUUGUAGUGGAUGACAAUAAGGCAACUAGGAGGGAAUUUUUGGGUGCUACUUGCUCUUCUUUGAACAUUUCAAACUUUAUCAGAUUCCAGUAAGUGUAAUCCAACUGAUUUGUAUCUUAUUAUCUUUUUUCCUUGUAUUAAAGUGAUUCAAAUUGAAUUCACAAAACCAAUUACCAACAGAAGUGGCCACCUAGCCUGCAGGGGCACAUGAUGCUUUGGAGUACCGGGUUUAUCUGAGCACACUACUUCAACACUGACUAUAAAAUUUAUGUAUAAAAUUACAAUAAAAAGUAGAUAUGAACAUAUAACUUUAAAUAUAUAAUGGGUUCAAUAAUAAAACCUUAAAGAUUUCAACCCAUAAAUCUUAAAUCCUGCAUUCAACACUCGUUGACACGAGUGGUCUAUCCAGAUUAUUAGCAUUCUACUCCUCUACUGAUCAUUCUGCAUAAUGUCUAAUCGCUUAUAGCGGUUAAGCAUUUGUUCAUGCCAUAAACAGCAUUUUGAUAGAAAUAUGUAUACAUAUGUAGCAAAAAAAAUUUAAAAAGUAUACAUAUAAUUAGAUUAUACUCAUUUUGAACCCAUCAAUUUUGUCUAGUGAUAUCUGAUUUUCCACUUUGCUGGUCUACGUCGGAAUCUGACCUUUCUCUUCCCUGAAAAAUUACCAUCUGAUCCAACUGAAAAACGACAACUCAAUUUUAGCGAAUGGUGUUUGAUCUUAAUACCCAACAUCCGAUACUUAAUCCUAGUCGCCACAUCCACCUGCAAUUUAGCAGUACUUUUGUCUGCUAUACAUUUUAUUAGCGAACUCCAUUUUUUCCUAUCAACAAUUAGCUGUAAUUGCAAAAAUGUGGUUGUCUUAUGUCUCUUUUGAUGUAAAGGAGGUAUUGUUGUCUUUCCAAAUCUUGAUGACAAGAAAUAUAGUGCCAAUUUCACUUUCAUUGUUGUUGAUGUGAACAGAAAAAUCAAGAAGAGUGUAAACAGGAGUUUUUGGACGCAUACAUAGCCAUAGAAUUAAGACAAGUAGUCCCAACAGGACAACAAAUGGUGAAAGACAGAGUUUGAAGCUUUUGCCUAAACACAUGCCUUAAUCUUGAUAAAGAACUCGUAAUAUCUGGCUUAAUUAGUAUAUAUUUGUAGAAUAACAUGAAUUAAAAAAUUGAAUCUUUUGGUCUUUUAGAAAUCUGGGAAUGAAAUGUUAGUCCUAUUAUCUCCUUCAAAAAGUGCAUUUAAGUAAGCUAAAUUUACCACAUGACCUUAAUAAGAAGUUUCGAUAUAGUAUGUAACAAAACACAAAAGAAGUUUCAGUUGAUUUAUGUCACAAGUGCAAACUUUUGUGGUACAAUUUAACAAGCUUUUCGCUAGAUAUUGUUCCAUUGUUACUCAUAGUCACAUUACUCAUAUAUGCCACAUAUUUUAACCCUCGUUGCUUUGUCCUCCAUUCAAAUAUCUUAAACUUAACUAUAGUUUCCAAGACAAGAACGAAAUUGAUACUCCUACUGCCAAUCUCUUGCCAAAAUAGCUCAUCAACAAUAUACAUUUGGACUUCCUUUCUUGUAAUAUUUUUGUGGCCUUGGUAGAUACCUUUUGUAGAAUAUUUUCCCACAACAAGACCAUUGUAAUUCAAAGUGAAAUUGAUAUCAUUAUAGUAAAUGCUAAUACCUUUGUUGGGAUUAAAAAUUUCAACGUUUAAGAGGACAGAAUUGUUGCCACUAUGGAGAGAAGAAUUCUUGAUGUUGAAGACAAGAAAGGAGAAAUCAACUAUUGUGAAAAUUGGAUUUUUUGGAACCAAACAAAGCCACAUGACGACAGAGGUCAAACAUAAGACAGCUACAACUUGGAAGAACCAACAGUAGAGAUCGAAAGAAUCUUUAAAUAUCCUUCGAUUAUUCAUUUUUGGUCAAAUACUAGUACAGAGUUCAAGAAAUUGAAGAAGCAAAAAAUGUAUCUUUUGAAGUUCAUGAAGACUAUAUUUAUAAUUGAUCGUGCUGUUAUAUAUAGUUUGAUUAGAAACCUUAGUAGGAAGGAUAGCCAAAAAAGUACUUUAUUUGCAUUGCAUGGUUGUGAUCUAUUCAGCUAAAUAAAGGGCACUUUUUUAAAGAAGCAAAUUAAUUGGUUGGAUAUUCAUAUGCCUACACCAAAAUGACGCUGGAAAGUAAAUGUAGAAAGGACAAUGUCUACUUUUAAGUCAAUAAUUUUUUUUGGUCGAAAACUUAAAGAUGAAGCAGAACAAAUAGUUAUUAUAUCAUGUUAUAUUUGUUAUUCAUCUUUUCCAGCUUUUAUAUUGUGAAAAUGUCGAUAGUACACAAUCUAAUUAAGGCCCGCCCCUUUGUUAAGUGAUUCCAUACAAUCUAGUUAUGAUUAUCGGAUGUGCCCAGGGUUCCGGUGGAAUAAAUAAGAUCUCUCGACUUACGAGAUGCACAUUAAAGGAGGAAGAUAAAAACAGAGGAUGCCCUUGCCUUUUAGAGUAAUUUUGGCAGGGAAAGCAUGUAUUGCUUUUCACAAUCAAAUACAAAAAAAAAACGAAAAUUCAAUGAGACGAAAACAUGAAUCGAAAUGUCUAAUUAAAAUAUUCCGGACAUCUCUUAUCUAUGUAACCAACCAAGAUCAUACCAUCUUGUCCUACUCCAACAGGACAAUUAGCAUGCAUCCUAUGAUGUUUACUUUUCCACGACCAUAUCUUAAAUCGAAUCCUGGCUGUCAAUUCUACCCGGAAAACCACCGUUCCUCGAGACCGGUCAUCGAGCAUUUGCUGCCACUGUGUUCCGGUCACCGUCACCAUGGGGCCAGAAAAUGUACCCGCAAGAACAGUAGUGUUUUUGGGCAGUUGAUAAAAUGGAGUCAACAAUUGUGAAUUCCCAAUACUCUGUUCUUGAUAAGUCGCUGCCAUCUGUAUUGCAUCAUAAAAAAUCCCAAUAACUUGAUUUGAAUUUCGUGCUGUUACGUUAAAGUUGAUUUGGGCACUUUCAGGUCCAAUUCCCUGACUUAUAGCUGGAAUUGAAAAGUCAUGUAGGAAAAUUCUUGGACGAUGAGGGCGCAAACCUAACCAUAAAAUAAACGCGAUGAUUCCAAGAAUAGAAAGAAGUGUUAAGAAAAUUGUACAAACUACUUUGGAAACUCUAGUAGUUAGACUCUCUUUAAUAUGGUGAGCAUAGUAUCGAGCCGAGUGGUGUCUCCUUAUAGGGUGGUCUUGAUCCACAUAAACAGGCAACUCGUGCGCGUUAUCCAUUUUCACAGGAUACAUAGUUGAGAUUAAUGUUGUUCUUGAGGUUGAAGAACAUGACCAAAUUUAGGGGACAUGGGGUUAUAUAUGGUAAGAUUAGUUAGCUGGAGGACAAAGUAAUGUCAAAGAAUGUUUCAAAUUUUUCAAGGAAGUAAAGAAUAAUUGAAUUGAACUUGUUACAUUCUUGAUAGACAAAUAUUUCUUGUAUAGUGCAAUGCAAUUCCUAAAGUCAUGUGCAAGUAUACUUUGUUCAAUAGUACUCAAAAAAAAAAUGUUCUCUCUUGCCAAGUAUACUCGUGGAAUAUACCAAGUGCAUUUCUUUAGAAUCUUUAUAUUGCUUUCGAUGUUUUCAAACUAAAACGAUGAGUUUCUAUUGAUUUGCAAUCUUGCAUAUCUUCGUUUGAGAUUAACUACUAUCCACUUACGGUGGACAAGAAAAUUACACAAUUAACUCAUUUUUAGAAAUACUUAUUUUUCUUCUUAGUUUAAUUAAUAUAUUUUCACAUUUAAUUGAUUAAUUGAUUUUUUUUCUUUCUUUUAUUAAAACACGUUGAGGUUUAUCAUCUUUCUCCCUCUCUUUCCUACCUUUCUCAUCUAUUUCUUUGGAUCUUCUUCUAUCAAUAUCAAAAAUAUUAUGCAAAAUUGCAGAAAUGGUGUGUCUAUAUUUCCAAUUGUAAGAUUACUACAUUUAAUUUUUGGGAUUUGUCCAAUUUACUGAAAAGUUCUAAAAAGCAUUCUCUAAAAAUCAUUGUUACCACAAAACAUAAAAUUCUUCAUACAUUGGAACAAGAAAAAAAAUUCUUUGAAAUAACAUUGAAAUAUUUUUUAUACAAUCGACUUUGAGUAUUUACUAAUUUAGAUUCUGAAAAGGAAAAUAAUAAUGAGUAAAAAUUUAUCAUUUUUUUAUCUCAAAUUUCUUCAAUUUUGUAUGUCAAUUGCUUUAAUGGUGUUGACGGAGAAUGAGCGUGAAAAUAAUAAGGAUAAAGAAAGCAUGAAAGUAUCCUUCUUACUUUUGAUAAGUCAAGUAAGAAUUCUUAACAAACUCAUAUAAUUAAUUUAGAGUCCAAGUUACCAUAUAACACUCUUUUUAUUAGUUUUUAAUAAUAUUAAUAUUAUGUGAUUUUUUUAAAAAAAAAAUUGAUAUGUAUUUCUAAAAAUGAGAUGAUAAUGUAAUUUUCUUUUCCACCGUCAAUGGAUAAAAGUUAAUCUCAUCUUGGUUUUAUAUAAGUCAUUGAAGAAAGGUAAGUUUUAGAUUGU